AGCGAACAUUGGCGGUAGGCUUAACACAUGCAAGUCGAGCGAGGCGUAAUAGUCGAGCGGCGAACGGGUGAGUAAUACAUGGAAAUCUACCCUGAAGUGGGGGAUAACGUCCAGAAAUGGACGCUAAUACCGCAUAAUUCAUAUUGGGAAAGCGUUGCAGCGCUUUAGGAUGAGUCCAUGGCUGAUUAGCUAGUUGGUGAGGUAAAGGCUCACCAAGGCGACGAUCAGUAGCUGGUCGGAGAGGAUGACCAACCACACUGGAACUGAUGACACGGGCCAGACUCCUACGGGAGGCAGCAGUGGGGAAUCUUGCGCAAUGGGGGCAACCCUGACGCAGCCAUACCGCGUGAGUGAUGAAGGUCUUCGGAUUGUAAAGCUCUUUCGGCGGGGACGACGAUGACGGUACCCGCAAAAGAAGUCACGGCUAACUUCGUGCCAGCAGCCGCGGUAA
RNAcentral lists this ribosomal RNA (451 nucleotides) under uncultured bacterium. Its description in RNAcentral is "partial 16S ribosomal RNA". It matches the Rfam family "Bacterial small subunit ribosomal RNA", at positions 29 to 523 of the family's 1533-position model. The record is from RNAcentral.